UUAGCAAGGGCCGGGCAAGACCGGUGCCAGCCGCCGCGGUAACACCGGCGGCCCGAGUGGUAGCCGUUUUUAUUGGGUCUAAAGGGUCCGUAGCCGGCCUGAUAAGUCCUUUGGGAAAUCUGGCAGCUUAACUGUCAGGCUUCUAAGGGAUACUGUCAGGCUUGGGACCGGAAGAGGUAAGGGGUACUCCAGGGGUAGGAGUGAAAUCUUGUAAUCCCUGGGGGACCAUCUGUGGCGAAGGCGCCUGACCAGAACGGGUCCGACGGUGAGGGACGAAAGCUAGGGGAGCAAACCGGAUUAGAUACCCGGGUAGUCCUAGCUGUAAACGAUGCUCGCUAGGUGUCAGACACGGUGCGACCGUGUUUGGUGCCGCAGGGAAGCCGUUAAGCGAGCCACCUGGAAGUACGUCGCAAGGC
This 416-nucleotide ribosomal RNA is filed under the name uncultured archaeon. RNAcentral describes it as "bacterial SSU rRNA". It matches the Rfam family "Archaeal small subunit ribosomal RNA", at positions 432 to 849 of the family's 1478-position model. The record is from RNAcentral.